CCAAGACUCCGAGUGCUCACCUCCGUGGUCAGGGCCAGGGCUCCUCUACGGCUCUCGAUGACCACAAUUGUUCUGUUUCCACGCACUAAGGGGGAAGGGGUAGGGAGGCAAAGGAAGUGAAGCAGGAGCCCAGUAAGAUUCCUGAAAAGCAGAUAGAACCAGAAUUCCUCUGGAGGUGAAGAAUCUGUUCAGAGGAACAACAUGGCUGCUAGCUUCGGAAAGAAGAGGGGAGCCCGAAAGCUGAUGCAGCUGGAACAGCUGGAACCCGGGAUGGUAAAAUUUUCCAUCUGAACCUCCAAGCAUCUUGUUCAAUGAGAAUCACCGAAGUAUUGCCACAGAAGUUAGGAAGAGCAUAAGGAGGCCUCCUGUCCUUGUGAUUAUUUGACAUUCUUCUAGAGACUAGCCACGACACAAGUGAACAAAAUUGGAAGUUGAAAAGAAAGAAGCCAAGAAGAAGAGGAAACGUGAUCAUCUGGGGCCCCAUAAAGAACUUCCACAAACCAAUUUCAAAACGAUUAACAAGAGAAUUUAAACAUGGGCAACAAAUAUAUAAGACAGGUGUAUCAAUAAGGAAAAAGACAGUUCCUAUACAUAUGAAAAAUAUUCACUCACACUCAUGUUGUGGAAUGCGUAUGAAAGUCACUAAGAUAUGAUUUUUCUCUGAUCAGACUGGCUGAUAAAAUCAUGAGCAGGGAUAUGCGGAAACUAAUACAAUGCUGGUAUAAUGUAAUUUGGUUAACACUUUAUAGGGGGCAAUCCAGUAAUACCUAUCAAAAUUACAAAUACGUGUACCAACUGCGUAGCAAUGCUACUUCUAGGAAUCUACUCAGGUGACCCAACUUUCUCUUGCUGUACCACAAACCACUCCACAAGUCACUGGCAUAAGGCAACAAUUCUAUUACGUUCGUGAUUUCAUGUGCUAGGAAUUCAGGCAGAGACGGAGGGUAUGAGUUGUCUUUCCUCCAUGCAGACUGGGGCUCCAGUUGGGGGGGCUGGAAUGGCUAUAGGUAGUUGGGAUGCAGCUAGAUGAGAGCCCCAUGGCUGUGGCUUCCUGGUUGUGAACUGUGUUCCUAGAUUGUUGUCCAUGUUGCACCUGCUGGGGCUGGAGCAUCCAAGACGGCUUCUCCACUCCUUCACCAAGGUGACAGCACUCUUCUCCUGGUUGUUUCGAUUACCAGUUCCUCACAGUGAAGUAAAGUCAGGAAUUUUAAGGGAGUAUUGAUCGGCUUUAAUCCCUGAGAGAGUAGGAAGGUUGAGGAGCAAUCACAGUGGCUGUUCAGAGGGGUUGAGAUGGUGUGGGGGUGAACCGGUGGAGGAGAGAGUGGAAUGAGUCAUGCCUGAGGCUUGUCCGUGUCCCAUUUCAAGGAACUGGGAACUGUCUUCACAUCAUGGUACUUGACGCUCCGGAAGGGGAUGACUGUGAUCCAUCCUCUGAGAUGGUAGACAAAGCAAUGGAAUAAGACUCAAAAUGGACGUCUCUUUGUGCUCUCUGACUUGUCCUUGAUGACGUGACACUGCUGGUAAUUGCAUCAUUUAGUGGAAUGCUUCUGUUGAUGUGUUCUGUGUGGAGUUAUUCUGGAAAAUGUAUUGUAAACCCUAAGGAGUGAUUGUGGAAGCAGCUGAAAUGUCAGCAUCCUUCCUGUUCUCGGGGUGUUGUACACAAUGGGCCGCUAGGAGAGGGAUCCCAUGAUCCCCAGGGGCAGGGCAUAGGUUAGCAGCUAUAGAGUAUAGCUCCCCCCUUCCUGCGCCUGGGGAUUGCUCGCCCAAACACCCCCCUCCUCCCUUGUCCCAUGACUGCCUCCAUACGUGCGGGCGUGUAGGGGACGAUGCAAGCCUGCUUUAGGGCUUCAGGAUAGCUGCCAUCCCUUUGUACUCCUUUCCCACGCUUUGAUGCACCUGCCCUUGCUUUUCUGAUAACAGAGAAAAUAAAAGCUACGUGCAGAAUUUAGCGGCUGUCUCCCUUGCGGAGGCAGCCCCGCACAGCUGCUCAGAUUGCUGUCUGAGAAAUUAAUUUCAGUGUGUGAUGACACUUUUAUAGGACUUCAAAUUUAUUUUGAAAUUUUUAGUUUAAAAGUUUAGUUAUUAUUUUUUACGAUUAUACUAUGAGAUUGGCCCUUUUUGCAACGACAGGCGUCAAUUCGAACCAGUGCCUUGGCAGCAACUCCUGUGCUUUGUUAAGCCAACAGCUCUACACACUUUUCAAUGGACAAGUCACUAAAUCUAACCUCUCCCAAAAGAUCCAACUUGGCUUUUUGUUUCUGUGUCAAGUUUGUCUGUUGUGUUGUGUCUCUCCUUUGUUUUGGUUUGCAGUUAUCUCUUCCGGGAAACUUUGGAAGUGAGCAACACACUUCAGGUGUCGAUUGGCCGACACACUACCCCAGCCUUUGCGACUUCACGUCUGACACUCUCACUGCUUCAGAUCUGCCGUCUCAACAACUUCCAAGUGUACAAUCCAGAAUUAUAACUAGAGUCGCCAUGCGGUGUGUUAGAUCCCAGAACUUAGUCACCUUACAAUUGAAGCCUUUCACCUUUUGGCCAGCAUCCCCUCAUCUCCCCAAAUCCCCAGGCCCCGGUAAUCACCAUUACAACUCCCUGUUGCUAUGAGUUUGACUUCUUUUUAGAUUCCACGUAUAAGUGUGAUUAUACGGUAUUUGUCUUUCUCUGUCUGAUUUUUUUUAACUGAGCAUAAUGACCUAAGGUUUAUCCAUAUUGUGGCAAAUGGCAAGAUUUCCAUCUUUCUCAUGUCUGAACAAUAUGGCAUUGUAUACGCCUACCACAUCUUCGUUAUCCACUCAUCCACUGACAAACAUAGACUGUUUCCAGAACUUGGCUACUGAGGAUAAUGCUGCAAUGAACGUGGGAGUGCAGGUAUCUCCUCAAGAUACUGAUUUUGUUUCCUUUGGAUAUAAACCCCAAAGAGGGGUUGCUGGAUCAUAUGGUAGUUCUAUUUUAAUUUUUGAAGGAACUUCCAUCUGUCUUCCAUAAUCGCUGUACCAGUUUGCAUUCCCACCAACAGUGUACGAGGGUUUCCCUUUUCUCCACAUCCUCGCCAACACUUGUUAUUGCUUGUGUGUUUGGCCAUAGUCAUCUGAUAGGUGUGAGGUGACAGCUCGUUGUGGUUUGAUUUGCAUCUCCCUGGUACUUAGUGAUGCUGAGCCCCUGUUCAUGUACCUGCUGGCUAUUCAUCCGUCUUCUUUGGAAAUAAUAUCUAUUCGUGUCCUUUGCCCAUUUUUAAACUGGGCUCCUCGUCAGGAUGCUUAUAGUAGCCAAUAGCUGUCUUUUGUUAAACGCAAAGUACUUUUUUGGAUUCAGAAAAGCAAUGUCUUAAGUUUUUAUUAUUUAAAAAUUUUUAUCUCUAGCUGAUUUACUGGAUUUUAUCUAUGAUUUAGAGAAGUAAUGGGCUUUGCGUGAUGUAUGUUGCACUGUGUUUGUUUUACCUAUAAAACAAUAGGAAAUAGGUCCCUGCUAGUGUUUUGACACAGAAUGGUGUAUUUUUAGGAAGUGAUUACUGAUAUGAAGCAGGAGUUGCCCAUAUUGUCUUGUUCUUUAAGUAUACCUAAGGAACUCUCAGGGAAGGAGCUGGAAGAACACAAAACAAACUGAUAAUAGUUUGUAACAAGGUAGUGAUGUUCACCCAAUCCCAUGGCUCCACUGCCUUUCCCAGCCUCCCUAAGACUGAGCGCAGAGCCGGGGAUGAUUCCUCGUCAGUGCAUUGGGAGGGAAAGCCACAUGUGGUCACUAGGAAUCUGGGAUGAAGGCAAUGUAAACUCCAUAUUCUCCCUCCCCCUUCUGUGAUGACUGUCAUAUAAAGAAGCAGAAAGAGCAUUUGAACGGUUUUGACUUGAACUCUUUCGGUUCAUUCCAGAAGAAUGCAGACACUCGCGAUUAUUACUGUGGACACUACUACAUCAUUGGUCCCCAGAGGCGUGUUCCCUGAAAUGACAGAGCUGGAUGGGAAGGAAAGGCAGGGGGGCCAUGGGAGGAGCCAUCAGGGAGUAUUUAAAAAUCCUUUCAGGGUUAAUGA
Molecule: long non-coding RNA, 4024 nt
Organism: Ailuropoda melanoleuca (giant panda)
Lineage: Eukaryota; Metazoa; Chordata; Mammalia; Carnivora; Ursidae
Exons: 3
Source: RefSeq, a predicted model, not a curated record